UACGUAGGGGGCAAGCGUUGUCCGGAUUCAUUGGGCGUAAAGAGCUCGUAGGCGGCUUGGCAAGUCGGGUGUGAAACCUCCAGGCUCAACCUGGAGACGCCACCCGAUACUGCUAUGGCUAGAGUCCGGUAGGGGACCACGGAAUUCCUGGUGUAGCGGUGAAAUGCGCAGAUAUCAGGAGGAACACCGGUGGCGAAGGCGGGUCUCUGGGCAGUAACUGACGCUGAGGAGCGAAAGCGUGGGGAGCGAACAGG
This 254-nucleotide ribosomal RNA is filed under the name uncultured bacterium. RNAcentral's name for it is "partial 16S ribosomal RNA". It matches the Rfam family "Bacterial small subunit ribosomal RNA", at positions 524 to 776 of the family's 1533-position model. The record is from RNAcentral.